CGACCGCUGGCGGCGUGCUUAACACAUGCAAAUCGAACGGAAAGGCCCUGCUUUUGUGGGGUGCUCGAGUGGCGAACGGGUGAGUAACACGUGAGUAACCUGCCCUUGACUUUGGGAUAACUUCAGGAAACUGGGGCUAAUACCGGAUAGGAGCUCCUGCUGCAUGGUGGGGGUUGGAAAGUUUCGGCGGUUGGGGAUGGACUCGCGGCUUAUCAGCUUGUUGGUGGGGUAGUGGCUACCAAGGCUUUGACGGGUAGCCGGCCUGAGAGGGUGACCGGCCACAUUGGGACUGAGAUACGGCCCAGACUCCUACGGGAGGCAGCAGUGGGGAAUAUUGCACAAUGGGCGGAAGCCUGAUGCAGCAACGCCGCGUGCGGGAUGACGGCCUUCGGGUUGUAAACCGCUUUCGCCUGUGACGAAGCGUGAGUGACGGUAAUGGGUAAAGAAGCACCGGCUAACUACGUG
RNAcentral lists this ribosomal RNA (465 nucleotides) under uncultured bacterium. RNAcentral describes it as "partial 16S ribosomal RNA". It matches the Rfam family "Bacterial small subunit ribosomal RNA", at positions 30 to 507 of the family's 1533-position model. The record is from RNAcentral.